RNAcentral lists this ribosomal RNA (235 nucleotides) under uncultured bacterium. RNAcentral's name for it is "partial 16S ribosomal RNA". It matches the Rfam family "Bacterial small subunit ribosomal RNA", at positions 1268 to 1500 of the family's 1533-position model. The record is from RNAcentral.
AAAUACUCAAAAAAUUAGUCUCAGUUCGGAUUGCAGGCUGCAACUCGCCUGCAUGAAGUCGGAAUUGCUAGUAAUCGCGGAUCAGCAUGCCGCGGUGAAUACGUUCUCGGGCCUUGUACACACCGCCCGUCACACCAUGAGAGUUGGCAAUACCCAACGUACGUGAUCUAACCCGCAAGGGAGGAAGCGUCCUAAGGUAGGGUCAGCGAUUGGGGUGAAGUCGUAACAAGGUACC